RNAcentral lists this ribosomal RNA (536 nucleotides) under uncultured bacterium. Its description in RNAcentral is "partial 16S ribosomal RNA". It matches the Rfam family "Bacterial small subunit ribosomal RNA", at positions 355 to 902 of the family's 1533-position model. The record is from RNAcentral.
UGGGGAAUAUUGCACAAUGGGCGAAAGCCUGAUGCAGCAACGCCGCGUGAGGGACGACGGCCUUCGGGUUGUAAACCUCUUUUAGCAAGGAAGAAGCGAAAGUGACGGUACUUGCAGAAAAAGCGCCGGCUAACUACGUGCCAGCAGCCGCGGUAAUACGUAGGGCGCAAGCGUUAUCCGGAAUUAUUGGGCGUAAAGAGCUCGUAGGCGGUUUGUCGCGUCUGCUGUGAAAACCCGAGGCUCAACCUCGGGCCUGCAGUGGGUACGGGCAGACUAGAGUGCGGUAGGGGAGAUUGGAACUCCUGGUGUAGCGGUGGAAUGCGCAGAUAUUAGGAAGAACACCGAUGGCGAAGGCAGAUCUCUGGGCCGUAACUGACGCUGAGGAGCGAAAGGGUGGGGAGCAAACAGGCUUAGAUACCCUGGUAGUCCACCCCGUAAACGUUGGGAACUAGUUGUGGGUCCAUUCCACGGAUUCCGUGACGCAGCUAACGCAUUAAGUUCCCCGCCUGGGGAGUACGGCCGCAAGGCUAAAACUC